This 253-nucleotide ribosomal RNA is filed under the name uncultured bacterium. RNAcentral's name for it is "partial 16S ribosomal RNA". It matches the Rfam family "Bacterial small subunit ribosomal RNA", at positions 524 to 776 of the family's 1533-position model. The record is from RNAcentral.
UACGGGGGGGGCAAGCGUUGUUCGGAAUUACUGGGCGUAAAGGGCUCGUAGGCGGCCAACUAAGUCAGACGUGAAAUCCCUCGGUUUAACCGGGGAACUGCGUCUGAUACUGGAUGGCUUGAGAUUGGGAGAGGGAUGCGGAAUUCCAGGUGUAGCGGUGAAAUGCGUAGAUAUCUGGAGGAACACCGGUGGCGAAGGCGGCAUCCUGGACCAACACUGACGCUGAGGAGCGAAAGCCAGGGGAGCAAACGGG